AUUGAACGCUGGCGGCAGGCCUAACACAUGCAAGUCGAACGGUAACAGGAAACAGCUUGCUGUUUCGCUGACGAGUGGCGGACGGGUGAGUAAUGUCUGGGAAACUGCCUUAUGGAGGGGGAUAACUACUGGAAACGGUAGCUAAUACCGCAUAACGUCGCAAGACCAAAGAGGGGGACCUUCGGGCCUCUUGCCAUCGGAUGUGCCCAGAUGGGAUUAGCUAGUAGGUGGGGUAACGGCUCACCUAGGCGACGAUCCCUAGCUGGUCUGAGAGGAUGACCAGCCACACUGGAACUGAGACACGGUCCAGACUCCUACGGGAGGCAGCAGUGGGGAAUAUUGCACAAUGGGCGCAAGCCUGAUGCAGCCAUGCCGCGUGUAUGAAGAAGGCCUUCGGGUUGUAAAGUACUUUCAGCGGGGAGGAAGGGAAUAAAGUUAAUACCUUUACUCAUUGACGUUACCCGAAGAAGAAGCACCGGCUAACUCCGUG
This 490-nucleotide ribosomal RNA is filed under the name uncultured bacterium. Its description in RNAcentral is "partial 16S ribosomal RNA". It matches the Rfam family "Bacterial small subunit ribosomal RNA", at positions 30 to 507 of the family's 1533-position model. The record is from RNAcentral.